This is an unclassified non-coding RNA of Otolemur garnettii (small-eared galago), 305 nucleotides long. Its record names the gene 7SK. It matches the Rfam family "7SK RNA". Rfam says of the family: 7SK was discovered as an abundant small nuclear RNA in the mid-70s but a possible function has only recently been suggested. Two independent studies have found that 7SK RNA binds the CDK9/cyclin T complex (known as elongation factor P-TEFb). P-TEFb activates transcription by phosphorylating the C-terminal domain of RNA polymerase II. The record is from Ensembl. NCBI's taxonomy places the organism in Eukaryota, Metazoa, Chordata, Mammalia, Primates, Galagidae.
GGAUGUGAGGGCAACCUGGCUGUGACAUCUGUCACCUCAUUAACCACCAGGAUUGAUUCAGAUGAACCUGCUGGGUAAGUGGGUGUCCCUUUCCUCCUUACAAAUAUGUGUGUGUUUCUUCUGAAGCUGCAUGCACCCAGUAAAGAGGAAAAUCUUCCUAACUAGAAGGGGAUUGUUCAUUGGCCAGGGUUAUUUGAGCAGCUACAUGUCAUGACCACAUAAAUGAUCACACAAGAUAUGGAUUGACAGUACAUGCUGCAAGAGGUGAGGCUAACCAUAGGUGCAGGAUAGCCCUAAGCACUUCU